This 305-nucleotide long non-coding RNA is filed under the name Brachypodium distachyon (stiff brome). Its description in RNAcentral is "long non-coding RNA (BDIS_LNC003216)". Lineage: Eukaryota; Viridiplantae; Streptophyta; Magnoliopsida; Poales; Poaceae. The record is from RNAcentral.
CUUGAAUGAGUUGCAUGGCUGGAGUUGUCCUUACACGACACAAUUUGGGGCAGUGCCUGCACGAAGCCAAGGAGGAUGAAGCGAGAGAAAGAUGGGAAGGCACCGAUGGGCUAGCUUUUUUUGUUGGGAGGAACGACCGAAGCUUUAUUAGCUUAAAAAGUUAAGUGAGAUAUAAAGAUAGUUUUUUUUUAGCGAAAGAUAUAGAGAUAGUUGGGUAGGUCUGUCAAGAGAUGGGCCAGGGGAGGAAAGGCUCGGUUGAAGGGAAGAGAAGGAGAGAGUUGGGCUGCAGCCUUGAGUAGAAGAGA